UUUAUAGUGACUCCAGCUAGUCAAAAACGAUGGUUAACAUUCUUUAUGAUUUCAUCUUACUGACCAAUUGGCAUGUGGUUAACCACUCUUCCACUCUUAAAACACCCUUGGCUUCCCUGAGACCAUGUUCUUUGGAUUUUUUCCCAUACCAUUGGCUUUUGUUUCACUCCUUUGGGUUUUCUUUCUUUGCUCAACUCCUAAAUUUUUGAGUACUCUAUAGGCUUGAUUUUGGUUUCUCUGUUUGUUUUCUGUCUUUAUCCUCAUUCUAGGCAAUCUCAUAACCACCAGAAUUAUGACAAUUUCCAAAUGUAUUUCACUAGCCCCACUAAGAUCCAAACUUACAUAUCCAACCUCCUCCUUAAUAUGAAAUUUGAUAGCUAAUAAUCAUUUGAAACCAGAAUUCUUGAUUCCUCUCUCAAAUCUGUUCUUGUCUUUAUCAUUUCAGUAAAUGACAUAUCUACUUAGUUGUUCAAGCUAAAAACCUAGAAGUCAUUCUUGAUUCCUUCCUUUCUGUCACCCCUGUGUCCAUCCAUCAGCAAAUCUAGUCAGCUCACCCUCCAAAAUCAAUCUCAAAUCUGAUUAUCUCUUUUAUUCUCUAUCUUUACUCUCUUAGUCCAAAUAAUUGGCUGCAGUAACUAUCUAACUGGUCUCCAUGCUUCUAUGUUUGCCCCCUUACAACCCAUCCUCUACAUAGCAUUCAGGGUGAUUUUUUAAGGAAAAUGUAACUCAGCGCAUGUCUAUUCUCUAUCAUUUAAAUUAAACAAAAUUCGACUUCUUCACUUUGUGUGAUUUGGUCUCAUCACACAAGCUUUAUCCAUUUGAGAUUUUGUUAAUUUGUUAUCAGG
RNAcentral lists this long non-coding RNA (845 nucleotides) under Homo sapiens (human). RNAcentral's name for it is "HSALNT0321369". The record is from RNAcentral. Lineage: Eukaryota; Metazoa; Chordata; Mammalia; Primates; Hominidae.